Molecule: RNA transcript, 2616 nt
Organism: Mauremys mutica (yellowpond turtle)
Lineage: Eukaryota; Metazoa; Chordata; Testudines; Geoemydidae
Gene: SLC39A9
Gene name: solute carrier family 39 member 9
Exons: 8
Source: RefSeq, a predicted model, not a curated record
UGCCCCCCCCGGGGGGGAGGCUCAGGCCGCUAACCCGGAAGCUGCUCUCGGGAAGGGGAAGUGUGUGACUGCGGAGCUGCCACUUGGCCUCCAUGGCAGCCGCGGGGGACGCCGGGCGCAAAGAGGAGCCUGAAGCCUGAGCUCCCCGCUGAACCGCCCCCCUCCCAGUCCGCCGAGACCAGGGGCCAGCAGGGGAGGGCGAAGGCGCUGCCGGCGUCUCCCUGGGGCUGGUAGGACGGGCCAGGCUCCCUCCAGGGAGCUGCUGAGUGGCCUGUGCCUCGGGGCGAGCGGCCUUUCUGUUGCACCUGGGGCUGGUAUCGUCUGCGAGCGGGGUGGGCCCUUCUCUCACCCGGGCGAAAAGGUGCCCCCUGCCCCCAGACUGUGGGAGAGAAAGGGCCUUUCCGCUCCCCUGGGGGUGGCUUAAUCCCCUGUGGCCCUUGACGGGAGGCGGCGAGAGGGGGAGAAUCGUGGUAUCCCAGUUGCUGUUGACAGAUCCAGGGAUCGGGGCCAGGAAAGCGGGGUGUCUCUCACACACGUAGCUCUUGGGGGAGGGAGGGAGUUUGUGGCACCACCGGGGAAGAGGCGCCUCUGACCUUCAUGACUCUGCUGGAGCCACAACACCUGCACAAGUUGAAAAACUACAUGCACUAAAAGCUGGAAAAGUUGAAUUUCACUUUAAGCGAGUGGACAAAAAGGAACAACAUGGAUGAUUUCAUCUCCAUCAGUCUGCUGUCUCUGGCUAUGCUGGUUGGCUGUUAUGUGGCAGGGAUUAUCCCCUUGGCAGUUAAUUUUUCAGAGGAAAGGUUAAAGCUGGUGACAGUUCUGGGUGCUGGGCUCCUCUGCGGAACUGCUUUGGCUGUAAUUGUGCCUGAAGGAGUACAUGCACUUUAUGAAGACAUUUUGGAGGGGAAGCACCAUCAGGCCAGUGAGACGCAAAAUGUGAUUGAAUCUGAGAAAGUAGCAGAAAUAACAGCUGAGCAUGAGCAUGGCCACGACCAUUCAAAAUUACACGCGUACAUUGGCGUUUCCCUUGUCCUUGGUUUUGUCUUCAUGCUUUUGGUGGACCAGAUAGGCAGCUCCCACGUGCACUCUACAGAUGACCCAGAAGCGGCAAGGUCAGGCAAUUCCAAAAUCACUACCACACUGGGACUAGUGGUCCAUGCUGCAGCUGAUGGUGUUGCAUUGGGUGCAGCAGCUUCCACUUCUCAGACCAGUGUCCAGUUAAUAGUGUUUGUUGCAAUUAUGUUACACAAGGCACCAGCUGCCUUUGGCCUGGUUUCCUUUCUAAUGCAUGCUGGGCUGGAACGGAAUCGAAUCAGAAAGCACUUGCUGGUCUUUGCAUUGGCAGCACCUGUUUUGUCAAUGGUGACAUACUUAGGGCUAAGCAAGAGCAGCAAAGAAGCCCUUUCAGAAGUCAACGCCACUGGAGUUGCCAUGCUUUUCUCUGCUGGGACUUUCCUUUAUGUUGCCACAGUGCACGUCCUCCCAGAGGUGGGAGGAAUGGGGCAUAGCCACAAACCUGAAUCAACAGGUGGGAAAGGACUCAGCCGCCUGGAGGUGGCAGCCCUGGUCCUUGGCUGCCUUAUUCCUCUAGUUUUGUCCGUCGGGCACCAGCACUAAAGGUUCAGAGUCACUGUUCUCCUUGACCUGGUGUGAGCAGUAAAUGUCAGCUGCUCUUUUCAUCGUUGUCUCUCUUACCCCACCAUCCACCCCAUCUGCACUGUGGUGUUCGGGGGAAGCUUGAUUCCAACAUGAAGAAUUCUGGAAAAGCUUUUAGUGUAGCAAAAUGUACUUUGGCAGCCGAACAUAAAUUUUGUGUAAUUUUCUUUUCUGAAGACAUUUGAUAUUUUAAUUUUGAUUUCUUGCCCCUAUUCUCAGGGAAGAUGGACUUUGAAUUUUAAGAAAGAUGUGAGAAUGGCAGGGCACUCACACCAGGAUAAAGAUGUUUUGAUGGCUGCUCCGUGUAUUGUAAGUUGGCCAUGAAUUAAGCACGAGAACCUAGUGUCUACAUCUGAGCUUCAAAGAGCACUCCUGCGUGGAAUAUCGUAAAACUUUAACAUUAUCCAAGAGACCCAGGAGAACAACAGUAUUUGUUCAGGAACUACUGUAGAGGCUGGUGAUUGUCUUACAGGAUUUCUUGGCAGUGGCUGACUUGUGCCCUUAUUGUCAACUAUACUCAGAAUAACAUGGAAAGGCUAUGGAAUAAGUAUGUUGCUGUUGCUCUCUUCUACGUUGUCUCCUUGAUCAUCCUCAGGAAAUCUGGGAGGAGGAGUUUGGUUGCUUUUGUCUGUGGAGUUGUGGGGAACCCGUCCAAUGAAUUUCAGAUUCGAACUUUUAAAAAUAUCAGCUUUUCUCAUUUUCCUUUGGUUACAUCUUCCAGCAGCUCAGGCUUUCCAGGGAAUAAAAUUGCCUGGUUACUGCAGUUAAAGUGACUCAGCGUACUGAGCUGUAAUUUUAAUGUCUUUUCAAAACCAUUUGUACACAUGAAAUCAUUCCAUGAAUGGCUGCCUUAUAAUUUUUUGUUUUUUCCACUUUAAUUGUGAAUGGUUAAAAAAAAUAAUGUUGGUUUUUUGAUUUGUUUUAUUAUAUUAAAUUUUUAUUAGGUGCAGUGCUUAA